UGUGAAUUGCAGAAUUCCGCGAAUCAUCGAGUCUUUGAACGCAAGUUGCGCCCGAGGCUUGUCCAAGGGCAUUUCCGCUAGAGCGUC
Molecule: ribosomal RNA, 87 nt
Filed under: Epipterygium tozeri
Lineage: Eukaryota; Viridiplantae; Streptophyta; Bryopsida; Bryales; Mniaceae
Description: partial 5.8S ribosomal RNA
Rfam family: 5.8S ribosomal RNA
About the family: 5.8S ribosomal RNA (5.8S rRNA) is a component of the large subunit of the eukaryotic ribosome. It is transcribed by RNA polymerase I as part of the 45S precursor that also contains 18S and 28S rRNA.
Source: RNAcentral